AACGAACGCUGGCGGCAGGCCUAACACAUGCAAGUCGAACGAACCCUUCGGGGUGAGUGGCGCACGGGUGCGUAACACGUGGGAAUAUACACAUAGGUAAGGAAUAACUCAGGGAAACUUGCGCUAAUACCUUAUAAUAACUCCGGUUCAAAGAUUUAUCGCCUAUGGAUUAGCCCGCGCUAGAUUAGUUUGUUGGUGAGGUAAGAGCUCACCAAGACUACGAUCUAUAGCUGGUCUUAGAGGAUGAUCAGCCACACUGGAACUGAGACACGGUCCAGACUCCUACGGGAGGCAGCAGUGAGGAAUAUUGCGCAAUGGAGGAAACUCUGACGCAGCCAUGCCGCGUGUGUGAAGAAGGCCUGAGGGUUGUAAAGCAUUUUCAAUCGUGAAGAAAGUUGCAGGCUAAUACCCUGUGACCUUGACGUUAACGAUACAAGAAGCACCGGCUAACUCCGUGCCAGCAGCCGCGGU
This 471-nucleotide ribosomal RNA is filed under the name uncultured bacterium. RNAcentral's name for it is "bacterial SSU rRNA". It matches the Rfam family "Bacterial small subunit ribosomal RNA", at positions 29 to 521 of the family's 1533-position model. The record is from RNAcentral.